Non-coding RNA from Struthio camelus australis, 2375 nucleotides. The record is from RefSeq and is a predicted model, not a curated record. Lineage: Eukaryota; Metazoa; Chordata; Aves; Struthioniformes; Struthionidae.
UCCAAAGUGGAGCCAAUGCCGACCCAGCACUGUGGCCGCGCAAAGCCUCCCAGGCCCAGGGGGCUGGAGCCAGCCCUGCAAGGAUGCCCCAGAGAUGCUCUCCUUCCCACCAGCUCCUCAGCCUACAGCGAGGGCUCAGCCAGGUUCAAUGAGCUCUAUCUACACACAGCAGAAUUUGGAACAAAGUGGACUUAAUCCAACAGACUUUUUUCUCUAUUUCUCAACUCAUAUGACUGCUUCAGAGCAGGUCAGCCAGCUGCAGGAAGGAAAGAAAGCGGAGCGUCAUGUUUAUCGCUGCUGCUUGACCGUGUAGCGACAAUGACAUUGCUGCAAUUGUAGUAUGGGAACGUUGAGCCGUGAGAGCCAGCGUGGGAGAGGAUGCACCAGUCUGCAUCAGCCGGUGCAUCGCUCACCUUCGCACCAGGGACUUCAAUGACGCUGGAGGGAGCUGCUUCAAAAACCACCUGAAGAACAGGAGACAGUCCUGAGGCUCAGACCUGAAUCCAGAGCUCACUAACAUGCAUAAACAUUCAAAUUUAGGCUUCAGUUAGACAGCAAAAGACGGCCGAAGCCAGCUGUGAAUAUGUAGCUAAGAAAUGGACAUAACCAAAUACAUAAGCCAGUGGUGUGCAUAUGGCUUCAGAGUAAGUCUAGAUUUUUGGAAGACAGGUAUACAAAUAACCAGCAUGUUUCCCUCACUUGAGUACCGCACUUCCAGCUAGGACCGCAGGUUCCCGGAGGAGCUGGAGCACACAGCAUAGAGCUGCGCCUGGAUUUCACUCGCUCAGGACUCAUCUCCCUUUCUUCCAGCUGUCUCCAGGAGCGGCUCUGACUGCGGUGGGGAAGAAAUCAGUGCCAUGAGCUGUGCGCAGUUAUUUACGGCUGCAUGGUGGCUCCAGUCGCUGCGCAGGCUCAAGGGUGAGGUCCUCUGCUUGUAGCCUUCGGUCAGCCCCGAGCAGCAUGGACCGCUGAGCUGUCCCAGCCUGUUAUUCCCACACCUGUGUCCUGGCCCUUGGGGCAUAUAACCGUUACUGUUCAUUAACUGUCUCCGUGGCACUUGCACAAGCCCUGUCGCCAGUCCAGAUCCCUUUUUUUAGGGCAGCAUACACUUAUGAUUCAGGUUCUGAGACUUACAAAAAUAAUAAAGAAUUAAAAUAAUGCCCACCAGAUAAGUCAUGUGCUUAGCGCAAGCUAUGAAUUUCUGAGCUGCAGCCAAAUGCGCUUGGCACCUGGAUCCAAGAUUUUGUCCUGGCUCAAUUUUAUUGGGCAGUAGCUUUUUAAAUGGGCAGCAGAGAGGAAUUUUAACCAGUCUAUUUCAUUCAAAGAACCUCAGCUUGCAGGGGUAUUUGGAUUUGGAGUCAAAUAUCAUGGCAUGAUCCUAUCUGGAAAUGAACUGAAAACACAUCAGCUUCCCGGGGCUGGUGACUGGUCCUGCGUCCCAGCACUCUGAGCCUUGUUUACUUUCCUCCCCUGCCCGGCUGCGAUGAGAUGGUUGGAUUUCUGUGUGGACUCCGUGUGGUUCUGCCUGGUUUGGCAAAUGGAGCAGACUGAAGUUCACAGGGACUUGGCCGUAACUCAGUUUUUUCAAAACUUAAGAAAAUGUUGAGUGAGUGAAUGGAAUGUAUUUAGGUUUUGUUUUGUUUCUGAGAUUUUUACUUAGUUUUUAUUGUGCACCCAAAUGACCAGUGAACUUGUGAGCUCAACGUUUCUGAGCCUGCAGGGACUCGUCUGCUAGGUCUUUGUGUAACGUAGAACUGACUAUAGCACUCUCAUAAAUCUUCAUGAAACCAAUUUUAAAACCAUGUCUUCUACUGUUUUCCUUGAACAAGCAGUAACAAAAUGAAAUGAAUGUGUUUGUUGUCUUUUGCCAGGAGUAUACAGCUGUAGACUGAGGAAGCAGCGUUGACUCUCUACUACAAGGAGAGCAAAGCUCACCUUGUGACUUGCUACUGUUUGAAGUCUGAGUGUGAUAAAAAUUGGACUUUGUUACAAAAAUUAAUUAAAGUUGAAUGUUGUGGAAAGAGCUUGUGAUGAUUCUAGGAGCCAGAUUUCAUUUAUUUAGUGAUUUAUUGUAGAGCCUUGCUCUGGUUGCUCUUGGAUGAACCGUUCAGUGCCGAACCAGCUCCAGCUCCCCAGGCCGUAGGAGGCCCUGAGUGUUGCUGCCCCAAGGAUGGGGACAGGCGACCUGCUGGGGUAGGUUCUCAGUUUGCCACCUUUCCCCCCCACCACACUGCUGUUAUACAGUGCCCGAGGUGCUGGGUUUAACUGUGCUUUGCAAAGCACCACGCUAUCGUAAGUUAAACAGUCUUAAAGGCUCACAUGAGGCCCCAAACUGCAAGUUACUGUUAAUAUGUCUUAAGUAAAUACAGCCUGAG